GGACGGGGAGGGCACAGGGAGCUAGAAGUCAUCUACUUGGGGCGCAGGCUGGGUGCCCACAGGUUCAUGGGAAGCCAGUGGCCAAUGGGCCCUGUAUCUGGAGAAGGAAAGACCCAGGCUCUGUUCAUUAGUCAGAUCAACACACUAGAAAAGGCAUUAAAGGUUCAGAUUUGAGCUGAUGUCCGUUUUCUUCCCAAGCUCAUAGCACUUUGGGUCCAUUAGGGAGCCUACCCCACGCCAGUGACUGAAUCAUCCUGUACCUUAGUUUCCUGGCCUGUGAAAUGGGAACGAUCUUUGUUCUGAGCUCACCAGUCUGUGAUAAGAUUUGUGGCCUGAUGAGAGGAGCCUGGCGGGCUACAGUCCACAGAAUCGCAGAAGAGUCAGAGCAGAAGACAAGCGGCUUGGCGCGCACGCAUGCUCACGGGCCACACAACACGGCACCCUUCAAGUUCAAGAGAACAGCCCCUUCUGAGGGUUGUCCCUCUGGGCCUGUCUGCGUCCCUGCCUCUUCCUAUAAGGACAUCAGCCACGUUGGAUGAGAGCCCACCC
Molecule: long non-coding RNA, 549 nt
Organism: Bos taurus (domestic cattle)
Lineage: Eukaryota; Metazoa; Chordata; Mammalia; Artiodactyla; Bovidae
Source: Ensembl